RNAcentral lists this ribosomal RNA (36 nucleotides) under Pezicula neosporulosa. RNAcentral's name for it is "partial 18S ribosomal RNA". The record is from RNAcentral. Lineage: Eukaryota; Fungi; Ascomycota; Leotiomycetes; Helotiales; Dermateaceae.
GUAACAGGUCUCCGUAGGUGAACCUGCGGAGGGAUC